This 465-nucleotide ribosomal RNA is filed under the name Vreelandella stevensii. RNAcentral's name for it is "partial 16S ribosomal RNA". It matches the Rfam family "Bacterial small subunit ribosomal RNA", at positions 338 to 795 of the family's 1533-position model. Lineage: Bacteria; Pseudomonadati; Pseudomonadota; Gammaproteobacteria; Oceanospirillales; Halomonadaceae. The record is from RNAcentral.
CCUACGGGCGGCAGCAGUGGGGAAUAUUGGACAAUGGGGGGAACCCUGAUCCAGCCAUGCCGCGUGUGUGAAGAAGGCCCUCGGGUUGUAAAGCACUUUCAGUGAGGAAGAACGCCUGGUGGUUAAUACCCAUCAGGAAAGACAUCACUCACAGAAGAAGCACCGGCUAACUCCGUGCCAGCAGCCGCGGUAAUACGGAGGGUGCGAGCGUUAAUCGGAAUUACUGGGCGUAAAGCGCGCGUAGGUGGCUUGAUAAGCCGGUUGUGAAAGCCCCGGGCUCAACCUGGGAACGGCAUCCGGAACUGUCAAGCUAGAGUGCAGGAGAGGAAGGUAGAAUUCCCGGUGUAGCGGUGAAAUGCGUAGAGAUCGGGAGGAAUACCAGUGGCGAAGGCGGCCUUCUGGACUGACACUGACACUGAGGUGCGAAAGCGUAGGUAGCAAACAGGAUUAGAUACCCCGGUAGUC